UAAGGAAUAUUGGUCAAUGGACGCAAGUCUGAACCAGCCAUGCCGCGUGAAGGAUGAAGGUCCUCUGGAUUGUAAACUUCUUUUAUCUGGGACGAAAACGGGAUUUUUAUCUCAAUUGACGGUACCAGAGGAAUAAGCACCGGCUAACUCCGUGCCAGCAGCCGCGGUAAUACGGAGGGUGCGAGCGUUAUCCGGAUUUACUGGGUUUAAAGGGUGCGUAGGUGGGCUUAUAAGUCAGUGGUGAAAUCUCCGAGCUUAACUUGGAAGCUGCCUUUGNUACUAUAGGUCUUGAAUUAUCUGGAGGUAAGCGGAAUAUGUCAUGUAGCGGUGAAAUGCUUAGAUAUGACAUAGAACACCAAUUGCGAAGGCAGCUUACUACAUAUAAAUUGACGCUGAGGCACGAAAGC
RNAcentral lists this ribosomal RNA (407 nucleotides) under uncultured bacterium. RNAcentral describes it as "bacterial SSU rRNA". It matches the Rfam family "Bacterial small subunit ribosomal RNA", at positions 355 to 760 of the family's 1533-position model. The record is from RNAcentral.